This 565-nucleotide ribosomal RNA is filed under the name Hanseniaspora uvarum. RNAcentral's name for it is "partial large subunit ribosomal RNA". It matches the Rfam family "Eukaryotic large subunit ribosomal RNA", at positions 73 to 655 of the family's 3401-position model. The record is from RNAcentral. Lineage: Eukaryota; Fungi; Ascomycota; Saccharomycetes; Saccharomycodales; Saccharomycodaceae.
GAUCCUUAGUACGGCGAGUGAAGCGGUAAAAGCUCAAAUUUGAAAUCUGGUACUUUCAGUGCCCGAGUUGUAAUUUGUAGAAUUUGUCUUUGAUUAGGUCCUUGUCUAUGUUCCUUGGAACAGGACGUCAUAGAGGGUGAGAAUCCCGUUUGGCGAGGAUACCUUUUCUCUGUAAGACUUUUUCGAAGAGUCGAGUUGUUUGGGAAUGCAGCUCAAAGUGGGUGGUAAAUUCCAUCUAAAGCUAAAUAUUGGCGAGAGACCGAUAGCGAACAAGUACAGUGAUGGAAAGAUGAAAAGAACUUUGAAAAGAGAGUGAAAAAGUACGUGAAAUUGUUGAAAGGGAAGGGCAUUUGAUCAGACAUGGUGUUUUUUGCAUGCACUCGCCUCUCGUGGGCUUGGGCCUCUCAAAAAUUUCACUGGGCCAACAUCAAUUCUGGCAGCAGGAUAAAUCAUUAAGAAUGUAGCUACUUCGGUAGUGUUAUAGCUUUUUGGAAUACUGUUAGCCGGGAUUGAGGACUGCGCUUCGGCAAGGAUGUUGGCAUAAUGGUUAAAUGCCGCCCGUCUU